UGGUUGAGACCCGCUCAAUCCUCGAAGCUGGUUCGGUGGUGCCACCAGGAAGAAGGAUCCCAUCAGGUGAGCUAUGGGGAGGUAAUCCUGCAAGAUUCAUAAGAACUCUAACUAACGAAGAAACCUUAGAGAUUCCGAAACUCGCUGUAGCCAUCAACCACUUAAGCGGAGAUUACUUCUCUGAGUUCCUUCCUUACUCUACUGUCUACUUAGAGGUAGAGAAGUUCAAGAAGUCCCUUGGAAUCAGUGUUUAGAGAUUCAUAAAUCUCUCUUUUCCUCAAAGCUUCUCUUGUGUGCUUCGCGUGCUUACCUGAUAGUACGAGGUCUCUCGUGCAUAAUGCAAUAAGUAGCUGAACAUCAAAACAUUCGAACGCUUGUCUUCUCAUUUUUUUGGUUUCUUUUGUAAGACUCAAAUUUUAAACUGAUUUUGGCUGGAUAAAAGCAAACUAUAUAUAUAAAGUUCUACUUCAGCUAAAAUAGUUUUAGCUGAAGUAAAUUAUUCUUACACACCAUACAUAAGUUUAUAGCAUUCAUGAUGUCUUAAUAAGAUAAGACUAGUUAAGAUUCAUGCUGUCUUCUUAUAAGACAUGACCAGAUGGAUUGUAUUAAAGGCCUGCAUGUUGAACCGAUUCUCAUCACUCUGCCAUUCCUCUUCCUCUUCCAAAACGGGAGAACGUCCGAUAGGUUCAAAGCAAAAAGUUCCUGUGAAUGGUACCCCAGGAAAAUUCUCGUAAAACGGCAUGCAAUCCGUUACUGAAUUCCCAAAAUACUUGUCUCCACGGUUCGAGCUAGCAAACAUGAACCCUCCAAACACUUUCUCUCUGUUUGUUCGGCUACUCGAACCCAACUGGCCGUAAGCUUGAUGAUGACGAGGCGGGGGUUCGACGAGAUGAUGAAAACGGUUGUAAACAUCGUUGCUGGAACCCAUUGCAGAGUCCAUAUCUGAGUGAUAAAACAUACAAAUAUCGCCUGGAUUUAUACCCGUGCCCGCGACACUAAACAUUAUCUGUUGUGUCCUGUUAACAAUCAUUCAUAGUUGAGCAACAAAAUAAAAUUAUAUUUUCAUGAAAAAAUGCUAAAUUGUUGGUGGUUUAUGCAAAAUAAUGCAUAUAAUCUUACCCAAUGACCUCAUAGAACUCUCUAUAUUUUAUGGACGGACCUCCGUCUAGCGGUUCGGUUUCUUUUGAAACACCGAUAUAUAGAAAAUACGGCUUAUCUAUAAUCUGCAAUAUCAUAUGUAAAUCUCAUCGCAGAUUAUGUAUAUAUAUGCAUGAAUUGCAUUCGCAUAGAAGUAUGGAACAUAGAGAUGAUUACCAGUGUAUGAAGAGACAGAAUGAGAUUAUAAGCAUCAAGUGGCCAUACUUCGCCUUGUGUUCUAGCGAAUAACCAUGUUGUUUUUCCCUCGUGCACCAACACGUCGAGUAUCUCUAUUUUUGGACCAAUUGGGAUUAUCCCACUUGAAAUCCCCACGUGAAAUUUGAUUUCCACUGCAUGCAACUAGUAUUUUAGUAUGUGUGAUUUCUUUUUCUUUUUUUCAGUCAACAAAAUAUUAUAUUUGUAGUCUUUUUCUUAAGUGUAAUUUUCACCUAAGAACUUGUGUACCUUCAUUGUUGUUUAGGUUAUCUCUGGCGAAAACAAGUGCGACCGCGUCUACGGUGUAAAGAGUGGUAUCAAUAUUGUCAACUUCAGCGUUGGUACAAACGAAAUAGUUGUGCGCAUCACCGAUCAUAACGGUUUCUCUUGAUAUCUUUGCAUCUACAAACAAGAAGAAGAAAGGUCGCUGAUAUCCAUGGAUCUCUUCCUCUGUAAUGACGAAGUCGUUAUAGAUAAGCUCCGUCUUGGCCCGCCUUGGUUAGCCAUUUCUACUUUAGAAUGUAGAAGAGAUCAAACGUUUAGGAUACCGUCAACGCUUACGUAAAAAAAUCGAAUUUGAUUUAGAUUUCGAAGAAGGAAAGUCUUGUGAAAUCGUAACUAAUCUAGCAAACGAGAAAAAGAUUAUACAAAACAAAAGGACAAACUCGUGAAAAUAACGAUGACGAAGCUGAGAUUAGUUCCGUCGUAGAUGCUCCUUCUCAAUCGUUCGUGACAAAGGAUAACGGCGACGAGAGAGACGAACGGAACGUUUUGUGAACGUCGUAGAUUCCUCCCGGGAAAAUGAUUCUGUGAUUUUCUGUAAAACGUUUAUCUCCUCCUUUUUGCAAAUUGAGGCAGGCUCUCCUCUUUAUUGUUGGCAAUAUAUUGAUUUCUUAUGUUUCGUAAUUUACUAUUAUAUCCUCCAGUUAAUGACGAGUGACUCCCUCAUAGAUUGGUUUCCUAUUUUCCAAAGGGUGUUGUCGUCAUUAUUAUUAAUGGUGUCAUUACACACGAGUUGAUGAUACUUUCUGGAUUUCAUUUUUAAUUUAUUUUGUUCAAAACUGGAUUUUUCUCACUUUAUUUCUUAUAAAAAUUUUGGACUACAACAGGAAUUUAAAGAUUGUUUUUUUUUUGAGAAAUUGGUAAGAAUGCAUCCAAAAGCUCAUAUAAUUUGCCAUAUACCUUUGUUUCUUGGGAAAAUUAUUUUUUUAGAGCAAAAAAAUGAUAACUAUGUCACUUUAGACUAAUCUCAUAUACUUUAUGUCCCAUUAGGUUAAUUAUUUUUAAAAUAGUAAUAAUAUCCUUAAAAUUGUAAUUUUUAAAUAUAAUAAAUAAUGAAUUCGUUUUUUUUUGGUUUUAAAAAAAAAAUCAAUUUUUUAAAAAAUAUGAAAGUGAAUAUUCCCAAAUAUUAUGUUUCCAUAUUUUAGGAACUGAUUUCUUAUCCGUAGAAUACAGCUAAUCUGUAAAAAUCGGUUUCUACAGGUUUUUAGAAUUAUAGUAAUGUGUAGAUUUUUAUUUCUACAUGUUUUAGAUUUACAGUAAAUCUGUAGAAGUUGGUUUCUACACGUUUUAGAUUUAUACUAAUGUGUAGAUUUUGAUUUCUAAAGAUUUUAGAUCGGUAGGUUAAGCGCGAAAUGUGUAUUCUAAAUACUUUUAGAAUACUCUUAUUUACGUAGAUCACAUAUUCUAAACAUUGUAGAUUCAAUGAAAAAAGUAGAUUUCGUUUUCUACUUCGUAGAAUGUCAUUUCUACUUUAUUUAGAACAUAAUCUGAAAUUUAUGAUUUAAACUUUUUUAGAACUAAAAAAAAUACCACUAAGUUCAUAUAGGUAUUUUAUCAAUAGUUAUCAUUUUCCAAAAAAAGUUUGUUUGUAAAACUAUUUAUUAAAUUUAUUUUCAAAAAUAUUAAAGGGUAUUAUAGACAAAACUUGCACAAAAUAGAUAUUAGUCUAAAAGGACAUAAUUAUCAUUUUUUUGAUCUAAAAAAAACAAUUUUCCCUUGUUUCCUUUUAAUAUUUUUUAUGACUAUAAUACUCUUAUCUCUAUCUCACUCCAUUUUCUCUUUUAUGUGUGUUUAAUCUCUUUAUCUCUCGUAUAGAUUUUUCAAAUCAUCUUCUAAUUCAACGCAAAUCUUUAUUUUUUUAUUCUGAUUCUUUUGACACCCAUAAUGCUAAUUUUAUUAUCUCACCUCAAUUCCAAUGUUUCCAAUUUUGACUCACAAUCAACUUUUAGAUAAUAUAUAUGUUAAUAGGUAUUUUAUUAAUUACCUGAUAUUAUUUAGAUUUCAAUGGAUUCUUAAUCGAUACAUGAAGUGUUAGAUGUUACAAAUAUAUUUGGGGCUAUUUGAUAGAUAACUAAUUAAUUGUUAAUAGUUUCAUUAACUAAUAUAUGAUUUGUUAGUCGAUACAUUUGUUUGAUACAUAUAUUGUUAGAUGAUACUGAAAUUAUUAGUUGAUAUGUUAGUUGGUAUGUAGAUUGUUACCUAGUAUGUAAAUAUUUAGCUGAUAAAUCUAGAGUUUUUUGUUUUCGAUAAAGCAUGAAGGUAUUUUCGUCCGCACAAUGUCAAAAAAUUACUCCAUUUUAGGUUAUCCAUAAUUAUAUGCAUUCAGCUAAUUUGGGCCUUAAUUGAGUAUAUUCCACGCAUUCUCCCCUUUAUUUUUUUACUUAGAACCAGACAAAUUUAAUUAGGAUAGUAGAAUGUAUGUUUAACUUCAAUUUAAAUAAUGUAUCAAACAAACGAUAACUUGUACAUAUAGAAUAUUAAAUUACCCUGUUAUAUAUGGGCCACAAUAAUAAAACAAUAUCAUUAUAUAUGGGCCGAAAAAUCAAAGUAGAAGAAAAUGAAUCUGCUAAAAGCCCACGUACUUCAAAUAUUAAAAUGUAUUUCCACGUGGGUUCCAAAAAUUGGUUGGUUCACCACUCCCAUUUGCUUUCACAUCAGACGAGAAGCUUCGUGUCUAACAAAACAAAACAACCCCAGCUCCGACUCCACUCUCUCUCCCCCUCUUCCUUUUUCGUUUGAGUUUCACUUUUUUCUCUCUCUCUCUCUCUCUCUCAAAAACGAGGAACAUGGCAGAUUGGGGACCAGUUCUGAUAGCCGUGAUCCUAUUCGUAGUGCUAACACCGGGGCUUCUUUUCCAGAUUCCGGCGGGAGGCCGAGUUGUCGAAUUCGGGAAUAUGCAGACGAGCGGCGCUUCUAUUCUCGUCCACGCUAUCAUCUUCUUUGGUCUCAUCACUAUCUUCACCAUCGCCAUCAACGUACACAUCUAUUCCGGUUAACUGUGUUAGCUGAGCUUAUUACUUGUUUACGGAAAGUCUUUUCUUCUCCGCUUCUGUUUGUGCUUUCUAGUUUUUCAAAAAUUGAUGUAAGAUCUGGCAUUUUCGGAUACAUGUGAAUAUAAUCAAAAUUUUCGUAUAUGAUAUAAAAUUCAUUUUGGUAUGGAUCUGGUAUCAGCUGUGGAAUUUGUUUGGGAUCUGGUUUAAUUGGUUCCUUUAUCGAAUGCCACUUGAUAGGUUACAACGUACAAUCAAACUGUUAGUUGAAAAGUCUUUUCACUUCUUAAUUCAAAGCACAAAGCAGAUUGAUCUGUGGACCUCUAAAACGACGCCGUAUCAUCUAUUAUUGGGCUUGUUGUAAUAAGCCCAUUAAAGCCUAAUCUGCAUCUCGUUCUGUUUCAUCCGAGUCUCCCGACGACCGCAUUUCUCCGCACUUUCGUCUUGGCAAAUCUAUCAGCAAUGGCGACUUCAAUAGCUCGAUUCUCUCGGAGAGGAGUAGCUUCUAACCUGAUCCGUCGCUACUUCGCUGCGGAAGCGGCGGUCGCGGUCAAGACAGAGGCGCCGAAGCCACAACUGACGGUGUCGCCGUCGCCGGAUCGUGUGAAGUGGGACUACAGGGGACAGAGACAGAUCAUUCCCUUGGGGCAGUGGCUUCCGAAGGUUGCCGUUGACGCCUACGUGGCACCAAACGUUGUGUUGGCCGGUCAGGUCACAGUCUGGGACGGCUCGUCCGUCUGGAACGGCGCCGUUUUGCGCGGGGAUCUCAACAAAAUCACCCUCGGGUUCUGCUCGAAUGUGCAGGAACGGUGCGUUGUCCAUGCCGCGUGGUCGUCCCCAACAGGUUACUGUUCACUCCAUUCUCAUAAAUUCUAAUUAUCCAAUUUCUGUUAUAGAAUCAAGAUAAUGUUAGACAGGAAUCAAGAAUCUCACUGCUAUGUUGUUGAGCUCAAUAGUAGAGUUUAGUAGAUUAGCACCACAGUCUCUAUGAUCUGAUUGGCUUUUUGAUAUUGAUGAUUCUAGGGUUACUGUCUAUUUUGGAAAUUUUCAGGAUUACCAGCAGAGACGUUGAUCGAUAGAUACGUGACAGUAGGUGCAUACAGUCUUCUGAGAUCAUGUACUAUCGAACCAGAGUGUAUUAUUGGGCAACACUCAAUACUAAUGGAAGGUUCACUGGUUGAGACCCGCUCAAUCCUCGAAGCUGGUUCGGUGGUGCCACCAGGAAGAAGGAUCCCAUCAGGUGAGCUAUGGGGAGGUAAUCCUGCAAGAUUCAUAAGAACUCUAACUAACGAAGAAACCUUAGAGAUUCCGAAACUCGCUGUAGCCAUCAACCACUUAAGCGGAGAUUACUUCUCUGAGUUCCUUCCUUACUCUACUGUCUACUUAGAGGUAGAGAAGUUCAAGAAGUCCCUUGGAAUCAGU
This 6047-nucleotide long non-coding RNA is filed under the name Brassica napus (rape). Its description in RNAcentral is "long non-coding RNA (BNAP_LNC005297)". The record is from RNAcentral. Lineage: Eukaryota; Viridiplantae; Streptophyta; Magnoliopsida; Brassicales; Brassicaceae.